Molecule: long non-coding RNA, 1193 nt
Filed under: Delphinapterus leucas (beluga whale)
Lineage: Eukaryota; Metazoa; Chordata; Mammalia; Artiodactyla; Monodontidae
Description: lncRNA (ENSDLEG00000001422.1)
Source: RNAcentral
GUCGGCACCACUGUCCUCAUCUGGAAAGUAGAAUGGUUGUAAGGAUUGGAUACGUUCCUAAGUCAUAAAACGCCCAAAACAGGAGCUGGCACUUAGGAAACUCAAAAUAAGAAGAGUGAAUACUUUUUUUUUCUUAUUAUUUUCUGGUUUGUAUCUCUAUGCUUUACAAAUUUUCUACAAUUCAGCAUGAUUAUCACGCUCAACAAAAUUGCCCAGGAUCCUCCCUCAGUCCAGCCCAGAAGUCUGCAGAAGGUGGGCCACAGCCUCCUUUCUCCACCUCCACCCACGCCCCCUCCCUUUCUGGAAUUCUCCCUUCCCCACCUUCCUCCCCUCCUACCUCUCCCCCAUCUCUCUCUUUUCCCCCUUCCCUUUACCCCCAUCUCCUCUCUCCCUCCACUCUUCCUCCUCCCCCAACUCUUCCUCCUCCCCCCUCCCAUCCCUCAAUACCACCCCCCCCACCCCCAUCCCCUGCGGCCGCGGUUCCGGUGCCGCGGGGGCCUCUGGGAGCGGGAGGGGCGCGGUCGGGUCUCGGGUAGGUUCGGGUCCGCUCGGCUCCAUUCGGGUCCGCUCGGCUCAACUCGGGUCCGCUCGGCUCCAUUCGGCUCCACGGGCGGGAAGGCCGGAGCGGAGGCGGAGGCGCGCGAGCUUCUGGGAAGUGUAGUCCGCCCGUCUGCGCAGGCGCAGUGCGGCCUGGAGGACGUAGGGCGCCCGUUAUUGUACAGACUGACCCGCGCUGAGCCCACCGUUCCUGGUCACCGUGGGCAGUGGAGGGAUGGCCGCCCAGCUGCUGACUGAUGAGGCCCUGGUGAGUCAUGUUGCCUCCCUCUCCUUUCCAGAGGGAUGUCCCUCUGACCCCCAGUCCCAUCCAGGGCCCAUGUCCCCACCUCCUGGGGGUUCUGUCUACCCUGAGGAAGGACAGCAGUGCUCAGGGGUGAUGCUCCUGUCCACUCUGCCCCCUCCAGGCCCAGGAGCCUCUCUCUUGCCUGUCCCUGACAUUGACUUUUGUCAACCAAGGAGGACAGGGCAGCUGGGGAGUGACUGGUUCUGCCCUGAGGGCCCUCAGGAGACACAGGAGGGCACCCGGAAAGUGGUGGUUUAAAUGUGUAUAAGACUCACUGGAACAAGGCCCACACAUUUCAGACAGCAGUUACAUUGGGGGAGGGAGGGCACCCAUGGGGAGGGCACACGGCUGG